RNAcentral lists this ribosomal RNA (646 nucleotides) under Liparochrus sp. NLG-2014. RNAcentral describes it as "eukaryotic LSU rRNA". It matches the Rfam family "Eukaryotic large subunit ribosomal RNA", at positions 671 to 1265 of the family's 3401-position model. Lineage: Eukaryota; Metazoa; Arthropoda; Insecta; Coleoptera; Hybosoridae. The record is from RNAcentral.
GAGUCUAGCAUGUGCGCGAGUCAUUUGGACUUUUUAUGAAUAAACCUAAAGGCGUAAUGAAAGUGAAAGUUUUUUACACAUUAAAAACUAAGGGAGGAUGGGUUUUGUUUUACGGAACGGCCUCGCACUCCCGCGGCGUCUCGUUCUCAUUGCGAGAAGAGGCGCACGCAGAGCGUACACGCUGGGACCCGAAAGAUGGUGAACUAUGCCUGGUCAGGACGAAGUCAGGGGAAACCCUGAUGGAGGUCCGUAGCGAUUCUGACGUGCAAAUCGAUCGUCGGAACUGGGUAUAGGGGCGAAAGACUAAUCGAACCAUCUAGUAGCUGGUUCCCUCCGAAGUUUCCCUCAGGAUAGCUGGCGCUCGCUAUAUGCGAGUCUCAUUCGGUAAAGCGAAUGAUUAGAGGCAUUGGGGUCGAAACGGCCUCAACCUAUUCUCAAACUUUAAAUGGGUGAGAACUCCGGCUUGCUUAAAUUAUGAAGCCGCGAGUUAUCGGAUCAGAGUGCCAAGUGGGCCACUUUUGGUAAGCAGAACUGGCGCUGUGGGAUGAACCAAACGCAGAGUUAAAGCGCCUAAAUCGACGCUUAUGGGAUACCAUGAAAGGCGUUGGUAACUUAAGACAGCAGGACGGUGGCCAUGGAAGUCGGA